This 443-nucleotide ribosomal RNA is filed under the name uncultured bacterium. Its description in RNAcentral is "partial 16S ribosomal RNA". It matches the Rfam family "Bacterial small subunit ribosomal RNA", at positions 338 to 795 of the family's 1533-position model. The record is from RNAcentral.
CCUACGGGAGGCAGCAGUGGGGAAUAUUGGGCAAUGGGCGCAAGCCUGACCCAGCAACGCCGCGUGAAGGAAGAAGGCUUUCGGGUUGUAAACUUCUUUUCUCAGGGACGAAGAAAGUGACGGUACCUGAUGAAUAAGCCACGGCUAACUACGUGCCAGCAGCCGCGGUAAUACGUAGGUGGCAAGCGUUAUCCGGAUUUAUUGGGUGUAAAGGGCGUGUAGGCGGGAGCGCAAGUCAGAUGUGAAAACUCAGGGCUCAACCCUGAGCCUGCAUUUGAAACUGUGUUUCUUGAGUGCUGGAGAGGCAAGCGGAAUUCCGUGUGUAGCGGUGAAAUGCGUAGAUAUAAGGAGGAACACCAGUGGCGAAGGCGGAUUGCUGGACAGUAACUGACGCUGAGGCGCGAAAGCGUGGGGAGCAAACAGGAUUAGAUACCCCUGUAGUC